Molecule: long non-coding RNA, 216 nt
Filed under: Pan troglodytes (chimpanzee)
Lineage: Eukaryota; Metazoa; Chordata; Mammalia; Primates; Hominidae
Description: long non-coding RNA NONPTRT014012
Source: RNAcentral
GGGGGCGGUGCUGACCUUGAGAGAGCGGAGGAGGCGCAGGCGCAGCACAGUUUAAACUUGAUUUUGUGAGGGGACGAACAGCGUGACAAUUAAAGAAGAUCUAGGAAUCGUUUAAAGACUUUCAUAAGAAGUUUCAAAAAUUACACUGUGAGAAUUUCAUUAAUUUGAAUACUAUCUCAUUCUGCUGUCUUUGCUCUGCAUUUGUGAAGGGAAGGC